RNAcentral lists this long non-coding RNA (627 nucleotides) under Capsella grandiflora. Its description in RNAcentral is "long non-coding RNA (CGRA_LNC000323)". The record is from RNAcentral. Lineage: Eukaryota; Viridiplantae; Streptophyta; Magnoliopsida; Brassicales; Brassicaceae.
AAAAAAAAAAAUCGUAUUUUUCUCUCAAAGUUUUCUCUCUGUUUUUCCUUUUAUUUUGAAGAAUUCCCUCAAUUAGUCAGAGAUUUGUUUCGAUUAUUCAUCGAUCAGCAAGUUUCUUUCGAUUUCAUAGAUCGCGAGUCUGGAUUUAGGAUCUAGGGUUUUGAUGGGACUUCAAAGAUGCUUUAUUUUGCGUGAAUCUGCUACCGUCGUCUUCUUCAUGAUGAUUUUGGUUAGUUCCCUUCCUAAUCUUUCAGGAUUUUGUUUUUUUGGGGUCUCCAAGUUUUUCUAAUGGUUCAUGUAUACUUUUUGUUUUGUUUUGAGUAGGGUUUCUAAGAAGCUUGUCUCCUCUGCUUGAAACCGUCAUGAAGGUAUGUGUAUCGCUUGUCUUUCCUGAUUUUAAUUGGUUUUGGUUUUCUUUUUGGUUUUGUUUUUUGAGGACUGAAAUCGAACGAGAACAAACACGUACGAUAAGUUCUUGUCGAUGAUUUUUUGUUUCGUUUUGCAAUUGAUAAGAUUCCUCUUUUGAUUUUGUUCUACAGAACUUUCUUGGGUUUUUAUUUUUUGGUUGAUGUUUUUGUUUUUCUUUCAAAACCCAAAAAGAUUCAUUGGCAGACACUAAUCUAAUAG